GCUGUGAUGGCCGAGUGGUUAAGGCGUUGGACUUGAAAUCCAAUGGGAUCUUCCCGCGUAGGUUCGAACCCUGCUCGCAGCG
RNAcentral lists this transfer RNA (82 nucleotides) under Anneissia japonica. RNAcentral describes it as "tRNA-Ser". It matches the Rfam family "tRNA". From Rfam's summary of the family: Transfer RNA (tRNA) molecules are approximately 80 nucleotides in length. The record is from RNAcentral. Lineage: Eukaryota; Metazoa; Echinodermata; Crinoidea; Comatulida; Comatulidae.